RNAcentral lists this ribosomal RNA (301 nucleotides) under uncultured bacterium. RNAcentral's name for it is "partial 16S ribosomal RNA". It matches the Rfam family "Bacterial small subunit ribosomal RNA", at positions 509 to 809 of the family's 1533-position model. The record is from RNAcentral.
CAGAAGCCACGGGAAUACGUAGGUGGCGAGCGUUGUCCGGAAUCAUUGGGCGUAAAGGGAGCGCAGGCGGGCAUGUAAGUCUUUCUUAAAAGUUCGGGGCUCAACCCCGUGAUGGGAAAGAAACUACAUGUCUUGAGUACAGGAGAGGAAAGCGGAAUUCCCAGUGUAGCGGUGAAAUGCGUAGAUAUUGGGAGGAACACCAGUGGCGAAGGCGGCUUUCUGGACUGCAACUGACGCUGAGGCUCGAAAGCCAGGGGAGCGAACGGGAUUAGAUACCCGUGUAGUCCCUGUCUCUUAUACA